RNAcentral lists this ribosomal RNA (497 nucleotides) under uncultured bacterium. RNAcentral's name for it is "partial 16S ribosomal RNA". It matches the Rfam family "Bacterial small subunit ribosomal RNA", at positions 28 to 507 of the family's 1533-position model. The record is from RNAcentral.
GAUGAACGCUGGCGGCGUGCCUAAUACAUGCAAGUCGAGCGAACGGACGAGAAGCUUGCUUCUCUGAUGUUAGCGGCGGACGGGUGAGUAACACGUGUAUAACCUACCUAUAAGACUGGGAUAACUUCGGGAAACCGGAGCUAAUACCGGAUAAUAUUUUGAACCGCAUUGUUCAAAAGUGAAAGACGGUCUUGCUGUCACUUAUAGAUGGAUCCGCGCUGCAUUAGCUAGUUGGUAAGGUAACGGCUUACCAAGGCAACGAUGCAUAGCCGACCUGAGAGGGUGAUCGGCCACACUGGAACUGAGACACGGUCCAGACUCCUACGGGAGGCAGCAGUAGGGAAUCUUCCGCAAUGGGCGAAAGCCUGACGGAGCAACGCCGCGUGAGUGAUGAAGGUCUUCGGAUCGUAAAACUCUGUUAUUAGGGAAGAACAUAUGUGUAAGUAACUGUGCACAUCUUGACGGUACCUAAUCAGAAAGCCACGGCUAACUACGUG